Molecule: ribosomal RNA, 253 nt
Filed under: uncultured bacterium
Lineage: Bacteria
Description: partial 16S ribosomal RNA
Rfam family: Bacterial small subunit ribosomal RNA
Source: RNAcentral
UACAGAGGUGCCGAGCGUUAGGCGGAAUCACUGGGCUUAAAGCGUGUGUAGGCGGGUCGUUAAGUGUCUUGUGAAAUCCCACCGCUCAACGGUGGAACUGCUGGGCAUACUGGCGAUCUUGAGCCACCUAGGGGCAGACGGAACAAGCGGUGGAGCGGUGAAAUGCGUAGAUAUCGCUUGGAACGCCGAAGGUGAAAACAGGUUGCUGGGGUUGUGCCGACGCUGAGACACGAAAGCCAGGGGAGCAAACGGG